This 73-nucleotide transfer RNA is filed under the name Phycisphaerales bacterium. RNAcentral's name for it is "tRNA-Phe". It matches the Rfam family "tRNA". Rfam says of the family: Transfer RNA (tRNA) molecules are approximately 80 nucleotides in length. Their secondary structure includes four short double-helical elements and three loops (D, anti-codon, and T loops). Further hydrogen bonds mediate the characteristic L-shaped molecular structure. tRNAs have two regions of fundamental functional importance: the anti-codon, which is responsible for specific mRNA codon recognition, and the 3' end, to which the tRNAs corresponding amino acid is attached (by aminoacyl-tRNA synthetases). tRNAs cope with the degeneracy of the genetic code in two manners: having more than one tRNA (with a specific anti-codon) for a particular amino acid; and 'wobble' base-pairing, i.e. permitting non-standard base-pairing at the 3rd anti-codon position. The record is from RNAcentral. Lineage: Bacteria; Pseudomonadati; Planctomycetota; Phycisphaerae; Phycisphaerales.
GGGCCUGUAGCUCAGUAGGUAGAGCACUGCGGUGAAGCCGCAGGUGUCGUUGGUUCAAAUCCAUCCAGGCCCG